AGAGUUUGAUCCUGGCUCAGGACGAACGUUGGCGGCGUGCUUAACACAUGCAAGUCGAACGAUUGAGAGGUGAGAGGUGAGAGGUUAGAAAUGAGAGUAAGAAAUGGAUAAUCUGCCUGUAAGACAGGGAUAACGCCGGGAAACCGGUGCUAAUACCGGAUAACCUCUUUGAACCGCAUGGUUUAAAGAGAAAAGGUGGCCUCUUUACAAUGCUACCACUUACAGAUGAAUCCGCGUCCCAUUAGCCAGUUGGUGGGGUAAAGGCCUACCAAAGCAACGAUGGGUAGCCGGCCUGAGAGGGUGACCGGCCACACUGGAACUGAGAUACGGUCCAGACUCCUACGGGAGGCAGCAGUGGGGAAUCUUCGACAAUGGAGGAAACUCUGACCCAGCAAUUCCGCGUGAGGGAAGAAGGUCUUCGGAUUGUAAACCUCUGUCCUUGGGGACGAAAAAAAUGAAGGUACCCUUGGAGGAAGCCCCGGCUAACUACGUGCCAGCAGCCGCGGUAAUACGUAGGGGGCAAGCGUUAUCCGGAAUUAUUGGGCGUAAAGAGUGCGUAGGUGGUUUUGUAAGCGCGGGGUGAAAGGCUAUGGCUCAACCAUAGUAAGCCUUGCGAACUGUAAGACUUGAGUGCAGGAGAGGAAAGCGGAAUUCCUAGUGUAGCGGUGAAAUGCGUAGAUAUUAGGAGGAACACCAGUGGCGAAGGCGACUUUCUGGACUGUAACUGACGCUGAGGCGCGAAAGCGUGGGGAGCAAACAGGAUUAGAUACCCUGGUAGUCCACGCCGUAAACGAUGAGUGCUAGGUGUAGGGGUCUUCAAAGCCCGGUGCCGCAGCUAACGCAUUAAGUGCUCCGCCUGGGGAGUACGCACGCAAGUGUGAAACUCAAAGGAAUUGACGGGGACCCGCACAAGCAGCGGAGCAUGUGGUUUAAUUCGAAGCAACGCGAAGAACCUUACCAGGACUUGACAUCCCUCUGACCGGUCCGUAACGGGACCUUCCCUUCGGGGCAGAGGUGACAGGUGGUGCAUGGUUGUCGUCAGCUCGUGUCGUGAGAUGUUGGGUUAAGUCCCGCAACGAGCGCAACCCUUGUCCUUAGUUGCUAGCGUAAAGUCGGGCACUCUAGGGAGACUGCCGAGGAUAACUCGGAGGAGGGUGGGGAUGACGUCAAAUCAUCAUGCCCCUUAUGUUCUGGGCUACACACGUGCUACAAUGGCUGGUACAACGAGACGCAAGACGCCGAAGUUAAGCAAAUCCCAUAAACCGAUCUCAGUUCGGAUUGUAGGCUGCAACUCGCCUACAUGAAGUUGGAGUUGCUAGUAAUCGCGAAUCAGAAUGUCGCGGUGAAUGCGUUCCCGGGUCUUGUACACACCGCCCGUCA
This 1380-nucleotide ribosomal RNA is filed under the name uncultured bacterium. RNAcentral's name for it is "16S ribosomal RNA". It matches the Rfam family "Bacterial small subunit ribosomal RNA". The record is from RNAcentral.